RNAcentral lists this ribosomal RNA (519 nucleotides) under uncultured bacterium. RNAcentral's name for it is "bacterial SSU rRNA". It matches the Rfam family "Bacterial small subunit ribosomal RNA", at positions 55 to 571 of the family's 1533-position model. The record is from RNAcentral.
AUGCAAGUCGAGCGGUAACAGAUCCAGCUUGCUGGAUGCUGACGAGCGGCGGACGGGUGAGUAAUGCAUAGGAAUCUGCCCGAUAGUGGGGGAUAACCUGGGGAAACCCAGGCUAAUACCGCAUACGUCCUACGGGAGAAAGGGGGCUCCGGCUCCCGCUAUUGGAUGAGCCUAUGUCGGAUUAGCUAGUUGGUGAGGUAACGGCUCACCAAGGCCACGAUCCGUAGCUGGUCUGAGAGGAUGAUCAGCCACAUCGGGACUGAGACACGGCCCGAACUCCUACGGGAGGCAGCAGUGGGGAAUAUUGGACAAUGGGGGAAACCCUGAUCCAGCCAUGCCGCGUGUGUGAAGAAGGCCCUCGGGUUGUAAAGCACUUUCAGCGAGGAAGAACGCCUAGCGGUUAAUACCCGCUAGGAAAGACAUCACUCGCAGAAGAAGCACCGGCUAACUCCGUGCCAGCAGCCGCGGUAAUACGGAGGGUGCGAGCGUNAAUCGGAAUUACUGCGCGUAAAGCGCGCG